Molecule: ribosomal RNA, 305 nt
Filed under: uncultured bacterium
Lineage: Bacteria
Description: bacterial SSU rRNA
Rfam family: Bacterial small subunit ribosomal RNA
Source: RNAcentral
CACCUACGGGACGCAGCAGUGGGGGAUAUUGCACAAUGGAGGAAACUCUGAUGCAGCGACGUCGCGUGAGGGAAGACGGUCCUACGGAUUGUAAACCUCUUUUGCCGGGGAGCAACGGGGUCCUUGCGAGGGCCCGAUGAGAGUACCCGGAGAAAAAGCAUCGGCUAACUCCGUGCCAGCAGCCGCGGUAAUACGGAGGAUGCGAGCGUUAUCCGGAUUUAUUGGGUUUAAGGGGUGCGUAGGCGGGCUGUUAAGUCAGCGGUCAAAUGUCGGGGCUCAACCCCGGCCUGCCGUUGAAACUGGCG